Molecule: long non-coding RNA, 731 nt
Organism: Mus musculus (house mouse)
Lineage: Eukaryota; Metazoa; Chordata; Mammalia; Rodentia; Muridae
Product: RIKEN cDNA 4930548J01 gene
Exons: 3
Source: RefSeq, marked validated
AGCUUACCACUCAAGCUUGGAUGAUAAGUGUUUUUCAGAUUCCUGAUCUGAGGAAAUAGUGUGAAGCCACAGGAAUGAAGCCAUGGAAACUAUUGUAAACAAAGGAAGAAGAACCACCAAGACUAAGCAACACUUGCACUCAACAGCAACGCUUUCAUGAAGAUUUCAUCCUUGUGCCUAUUUCUUCCAACUCUUUCCAGAGAACAAGAGGAUAGACAGAGGAUUGCCUGAUACACAGAGCCUAAUGCAGCAGCAGCAGCAGCAGCAGCAGCAGCAGCAGCAGCAGCCAGCAGCAGCCAGAAGCCAGCAGCAGCAGGAAGGGGAGAAGGAGCAGCAGGCACAGCCUCUCUUAAGGCUCCAGCAUUUUUAUACCCUCUCAAGAGUGCCCAGAAUUCCAGGUGUAAACUAUCUUCAACUGGCAGAAUCACACCCAUGCCAGACAUGAGACAAAUCAUAGUCAGCUGCUGUGGACAAUGUGAAGCAGCCCCAUUUCCCACGCCUGGGGUUAAAACAAAAACACAGUCCCAUAACUUAACUGGGUUUUUAAAGAAAUCAGAAUUCUCACUACAGUUUAUUUAGCCCUUUUGACUGUGGCAGGGAUGUACUCAUGAUCUAACAGAAGGCCUAGGAAGGAUGAUGGGGAAAUUUAAUGUAUUACUUACUGAAAUUGAUUUUUCUGUGAAAGCAUAUGUGUUUUAAUAUGGCUUGGGAAUACAUGAAUGUAAAAUGUC